UUCCGGUUGAUCCCGCCGGACCUGACUGCUAUCGGAUUGAUACUAAGCCAUGCGAGUCAUUGUAGCAAUACAAGGCAUACGGCUCAGUAACGCGUAGUCAACCUAACCUAUGGACGGGAAUAACCUCGGGAAACUGAGAAUAAUGCCCGAUAGAACACUAUACCUGGAAUGGUUUGUGUUCCAAAUGAUUUAUCGCCAUAGGAUGGGACUGCGGCCUAUCAGUUUGUUGGUGAGGUAAUGGCCCACCAAGACUAUUACAGGUACGGGCUCUGAGAGGAGUAGCCCGGAGAUGGGUACUGAGACACGGACCCAGGCCCUAUGGGGCGCAGCAGGCGAGAAAACUUUGCAAUGUGCGAAAGCACGACAAGGUUAAUCCGAGUGAUUUGUGCUAAACGAAUCUUUUGUUAGUCCUAGAAACACUAACGAAUAAGGGGUGGGCAAGUUCUGGUGUCAGCCGCCGCGGUAAAACCAGCACCUCAAGUGGUCAGGAUGAUUAUUGGGCCUAAAGCAUCCGUAGCCGGCUCUGUAAGUUUUCGGUUAAAUCUGUACGCUUAACGUACGGGCUGCCGGGAAUACUGCAGAGCUAGGGAGUGGGAGAGGUAGACGGUACUCGGUAGGAAGUGGUAAAAUGCUUUGAUCUAUCGAUGACCACCUGUGGCGAAGGCGGUCUACCAGAACACGUCCGACGGUGAGGGAUGAAAGCUGGGGGAGCAAACCGGAUUAGAUACCCGGGUAGUCCCAGCUGUAAACUAUGCAAACUCAGUGAUGCAUUGGCUUGUGGCCAAUGCAGUGCUGCAGGGAAGCCGUUAAGUUUGCCGCCUGGGAAGUACGUACGCAAGUAUGAAACUUAAAGGAAUUGGCGGGGGAGCACCACAAGGGGUGAAGCCUGCGGUUCAAUUGGAUUCAACGCCGGG
RNAcentral lists this ribosomal RNA (914 nucleotides) under uncultured crenarchaeote. RNAcentral describes it as "bacterial SSU rRNA". It matches the Rfam family "Archaeal small subunit ribosomal RNA", at positions 1 to 922 of the family's 1478-position model. The record is from RNAcentral. Lineage: Archaea; Thermoproteati; Thermoproteota.